Molecule: long non-coding RNA, 667 nt
Organism: Rana temporaria (common frog)
Lineage: Eukaryota; Metazoa; Chordata; Amphibia; Anura; Ranidae
Exons: 3
Source: RefSeq, a predicted model, not a curated record
AGCACGGACGCUCUCCCUGGGGACACACGUGGGAAAUCAUCAGCCACGCUGGAAUCAGUGCAUUGCACUGCCUAUACCCUGGCAGUUGAGCUAACCUUACAAUUGACUUACCAAGGCUGUCCUCCUGUGCCCCAGUAAAAUUGGAUAUACAUUUUAUGUAUAGCUAUGAGCCCGUUCUAAACAAAUAUAUCCCCCUCCUUGCGCCAAAGAAGGUAUUCAACUGGGUCUCCGGCUUGUUCAAUUGACCAGUCUGGGUGAGUUUUUCACUCCAUUAUAAGGCAUGCUACUUGGAUUAUAUUAUAAAAUAUUUACAACCAUUGUAUAAACUUGCUUGUAUAUUUAUAUGUUUUAUGCAUAUCUUGUAGACAAACCCCCUCCUGAAGAAGCGGUACACUACCGCGAAACCGGUCGAGGCGAUCAACUCCUUACACGCAGAUAUAGUUUGUGUUUAACUUACUGUUGUGCAAUGUGGGGAUUGUCUUUAAAUGUUGUUUUAUGAUACCUGUUUUAUGUUCAAUAAAUACUUGUUAUUUUUUACGUAAUUGUGUUUAACCAGUGCCGUGAAUAGUCCCCCCCAAAAUCCCUUUUUUCCCUUUCCCUUGACCUAGUUGGUGACAAACUUUUGGUUUCAAGCAGCCAAUGGUGUCUCAAUUAAUCAGGUCUAUUU